UGAAUACGAGACGCUAAGGCGUCGAAGUAGUGUAUGUCAUACUUCCAAGAAAAGCUUGCACUGUCAUAGAUAAAAAACGCCUGUACCAUAACCGACACAGGUGGGUAGGUAGAGUAUACUAAGGGGCGCGAGAUAACUCUCUCUAAGGAACUCGGCAAAAUAACUCCGUAACUUCGGGAGAAGGAGUGCCUUAUUCGUAAGGUUGCAAUAACAAGAUCCAAGCAACUGUUUAUCAAAAACACAGGUCUCCGCUAAGUCGUAAGACGAUGUAUGGGGGCUGACGCCUGCCCAGUGCCAGAAGGUUAAAGAAGUUGGUUAGCAAUUGCGAAGCUGAUAACUGAAGCCCUGGUGAACGGCGGCCGUAACAAUAACGGUCCUAAGGUAGCGAAAUUCCUUGUCGGGUAAGUUCCGACCCGCACGAAAGGCGUAAUGAUUUGGAUACUGUCUCGGAGAGGGGCUCGGUGAAAUAGACUUGUCUGUGAAGAUGCGGACUACCUGCACCAGGACAGAAAGACCCUAUGAAGCUUUACUGUAACUUGAAAUUGAAAUUGGACUUUAUUCGCGCAGUAUAGGUGGGAGGCGUUGAUUAUAAUCUUGUGGGAUUAUUGGAGCCAUCAGUGAGAUACCACUCUUGUAAUGUUAGAUUUCUAACUUUGAAUCAUUAUCUGGUCAAAGAACAGUUUCAGGCGGGCAGUUUGACUGGGGCGGUCGCCUCCUAAACGGUAACGGAGGCGUACAAAGGUUUCCUCUGAACGGUUAGAAAUCGUAUCUAGAGUGUAAAGGCAUAAGGAAGCUUGACUGUGAGACCUACAAGUCGAGCAGGGACGAAAGUCGGUCUUAGUGAUCUGACGGUACUGAGUGGAAAGGCCGUCACUCAACGGAUAAAAGUUACUCUAGGAUAACAGGCUGAUCUCCCCCAAGAGUUCACAUCGACGGGGAGGUUUGGCACCUUGAUGUCGGCUCAUCGCAUCCUGGGGCGGUAGUACGUCCCAAGGGUUGGGCUGUUCGCCCAUGAAAGCGGUACGCGAGCUGGGUUCAGAACGUCGUGAGACAGUUCGGUCCAUAUCCGGUGUAGGCGUUAGAAUAUUGAGAGGAGCCUUCUUUAGUACGAGAGGACCGAGAAGGACAUACCUCUGGUGUACCAGUUAUCGUGCCAACGGUAAACGCUGGGUAGCUAUGUAUGGAGUGGAUAACCGCUGAAAGCAUCUAAGUGGGAAGCCCACCUCAAGAUAAGUAUUCUCAU
RNAcentral lists this ribosomal RNA (1243 nucleotides) under metagenome. RNAcentral's name for it is "bacterial LSU rRNA". It matches the Rfam family "Bacterial large subunit ribosomal RNA", at positions 1564 to 2817 of the family's 2925-position model. The record is from RNAcentral.